UACAGAGGGGGCGAGCGUUGUUCGGAAUUACUGGGCGUAAAGGGCGCGUAGGCGGCCCUCUAAGUCGAACGUGAAAUCCCCGGGCUCAACCCGGGAACUGCGUCCGAUACUGGAGGGCUCGAAUCCGGGAGAGGGAUGUGGAACUCCAGGUGUAGCGGUGAAAUGCGUAGAUAUCUGGAGGAACACCGGUGGCGAAGGCGGCAUCCUGGACCGGUAUUGACGCUGAGGCGCGAAAGCCAGGGGAGCAAACGGG
RNAcentral lists this ribosomal RNA (253 nucleotides) under uncultured bacterium. RNAcentral describes it as "partial 16S ribosomal RNA". It matches the Rfam family "Bacterial small subunit ribosomal RNA", at positions 524 to 776 of the family's 1533-position model. The record is from RNAcentral.